This 138-nucleotide small nucleolar RNA is filed under the name Ornithorhynchus anatinus (platypus). Lineage: Eukaryota; Metazoa; Chordata; Mammalia; Monotremata; Ornithorhynchidae. The record is from RNAcentral.
CACCUCUCAGGGUCGCAUCUGGAGAGUGUCCAGUCCUCUUCCAGUCUCGACUACAGGAGGGAGGGUCAAGCAGAGGCCUGUCCAUUCCAUUCCUAGCUUGGCCAGUGGCUAGCGAAUGGCAGGCCAUCGGCUACUAAU